GGACUACAAGGGUAUCUAAUCCCGUUUGCUCCCCUGGCUUUCGCGCCUCAGCGUCAGAGGGGACCCAGCGGACCGCUUUCGCCACCGGCGUUCCUUCCGAUAUCAACGCAUUUCACCGCUCCACCGGAAGUUCCGUCCGCCCCUAUCCCCCUCGAGCCGCGCAGUAUCGGAGGCACGCUUCCGGUUGGGCCGAAAGAUUUCACCCCCGACUUGCGCGGCCGCCUACGCGCCCUUUAAGCCCAGUGAUUCCGAACAACGUUCGCACGGUUCGUCUUACCGCGGCGGCUGGCAC
This 292-nucleotide ribosomal RNA is filed under the name uncultured bacterium. RNAcentral describes it as "partial 16S ribosomal RNA". RNAcentral also lists the same sequence under 1 other name. The record is from RNAcentral.